Molecule: ribosomal RNA, 499 nt
Filed under: uncultured bacterium
Lineage: Bacteria
Description: partial 16S ribosomal RNA
Rfam family: Bacterial small subunit ribosomal RNA
Source: RNAcentral
AUUGAACGCUGGCGGCAUGCCUUACACAUGCAAGUCGAACGGCAGCACGGGAGCAAUCCUGGUGGCGAGUGGCGAACGGGUGAGUAAAGUAUCGGAACGUGCCCAGUCAUGGGGGAUAACGUAGCGAAAGUUACGCUAAUACCGCAUACGAUCUAUGGAUGAAAGCGGGGGGUCGCAAGACCUCGCGCGAUUGGAGCGGCCGAUAUCAGAUUAGGUAGUUGGUGGGGUAAAGGCUCACCAAGCCGACGACCUGUAACUGGUCUGAGAGGACGACCAGCCACACUGGGACUGAGACACGGCCCAGACUCCUACGGGAGGCAGCAGUGGGGAAUUUUAGACAAUGGGCGAAAGCCUGAUCCAGCCAUGCCGCGUGCAGGAUGAAGGCCUUCGGGUUGUAAACUGCUUUUGUACGGAACGAAAAGGUUUGGCCUAAUAAGCUGAGCUCAUGACGGUACCGUAAGAAUAAGCACCGGCUAACUACGUGCCAGCCGCCGCGUAA